GAACGGAAAGGCCUCUUCGGAGGUCUCGAGUGGCGAACGGGUGAGUAACACGUGGGUAAUCUGCCCUGCACUUCGGGAUAAGCCUGGGAAACUGGGUCUAAUACCGAAUAGGACCAUUUAGCGCAUGCUUUAUGGUGGAAAGCUUUUGCGGUGUGGGAUGGGCCCGCGGCCUAUCAGCUUGUUGGUGGGGUGACGGCCUACCAAGGCGACGACGGGUAGCCGGCCUGAGAGGGUGUCCGGCCACACUGGGACUGAGAUACGGCCCAGACUCCUACGGGAGGCAGCAGUGGGGAAUAUUGCACAAUGGGCGCAAGCCUGAUGCAGCGACGCCGCGUGGGGGAUGACGGCCUUCGGGUUGUAAACCUCUUUCAGCAGGGACGAAGCGCAAGUGACGGUACCUGCAGAAGAAGCACCGGCCAACUACGUG
RNAcentral lists this ribosomal RNA (427 nucleotides) under uncultured bacterium. RNAcentral's name for it is "bacterial SSU rRNA". It matches the Rfam family "Bacterial small subunit ribosomal RNA", at positions 64 to 507 of the family's 1533-position model. The record is from RNAcentral.